This 516-nucleotide ribosomal RNA is filed under the name Triticum aestivum (bread wheat). RNAcentral describes it as "partial small subunit ribosomal RNA". The record is from RNAcentral. Lineage: Eukaryota; Viridiplantae; Streptophyta; Magnoliopsida; Poales; Poaceae.
AUGAGUCCUUAUGAUUUAUUUGCUUCUACCUUGCAUUACAUGAUGCCAUCACUUAAGAUUGAUUUGAAAAAUCAUUUACUUGGAUAUGAUGAUACAUACACUAUUGGUGGCAUUGCUCUCAUUUGUGAUGAUCACAAUUACUUUUCUCAUGCUAGUCUUGAGCUUAAUGAUAAAUGUCAUCCUCGUGUGAGUAUUGACCAUGCUGAUUUCUGCCAUCCUAAACAUGUGCUGCUUAAUGAAACACAUCAUUUUCAUGCUAGUCUUGAGCUUAAUGAUAAAUGUCAUCCUCGUGUGAGUAUUGACCAUGCUGAUUUCUGCCAUCCUAAAUAUGUGCUUUAUAGGUAUGCUUAUAUAAUUGGAUAUUCCAUUGAUGACUUGGAGGGCAUCGACCGUAUCACUUGUAGUUCUUUGUGUGAAUCCUAUUUCAGGCUUUUUCUACUGCACUGUUUACUACAUGCUGACCAGGUUCGAGGUGACAUUCCUUGGGAUCCUGGUGGAGUCAGAGCAUGGCGAUGA